CUCUUAUCCAGAGAGGCGGAGGGACAUGGCCCUGCGAAGCCUCGGCAACGGAUCACGAUUUUUGUGAAACCGUGCUAAUUCCUGCAGACGCAUUCAUGUGUUUGAAAGAUGAGAG
This 115-nucleotide non-coding RNA is filed under the name Bacillus sp. (in: firmicutes). Its description in RNAcentral is "Bacillus sp. SAM-I sequence". It matches the Rfam family "SAM riboswitch aptamer (S box leader)". Rfam says of the family: The SAM riboswitch is found upstream of a number of genes which code for proteins involved in methionine or cysteine biosynthesis in Gram-positive bacteria. The SAM riboswitch acts at the level of transcription termination control. RNAcentral also lists the same sequence under 1 other name. The record is from RNAcentral. Lineage: Bacteria; Bacillati; Bacillota; Bacilli; Caryophanales; Bacillaceae.